UACGGAGGGGGUUAGCGUUGUUCGGAAUUACUGGGCGUAAAGCGCGCGUAGGCGGACCAGAAAGUUGGGGGUGAAAUCCCGGGGCUCAACCCCGGAACGGCCUCCAAAACUCCUGGUCUUGAGUUCGAGAGAGGUGAGUGGAAUUCCGAGUGUAGAGGUGAAAUUCGUAGAUAUUCGGAGGAACACCAGUGGCGGAGGCGGCUCACUGGCUCGAUACUGACGCUGAGGUGCGAAAGUGUGGGGAGCAAACAGG
RNAcentral lists this ribosomal RNA (253 nucleotides) under uncultured bacterium. Its description in RNAcentral is "partial 16S ribosomal RNA". It matches the Rfam family "Bacterial small subunit ribosomal RNA", at positions 524 to 776 of the family's 1533-position model. The record is from RNAcentral.